UUUUGAGUUUGAUCGUGGCUCAGAUUGAACGCUUGCGGCAGGCUUAACACAUGCAAGUCGAGCGGUAGCACAGGGGAGCUUGCUCCCUGGGUGACGAGCGGCGGACGGGUGAGUAAUGUCUGGGAAACUGCCUGAUGGAGGGGGAUAACUACUGGAAACGGUAGCUAAUACCGCAUAACGUCGCAAGACCAAAGAGGGGGACCUUCGGGCCUCUUGCCAUCAGAUGUGCCCAGAUGGGAUUAGCUAGUAGGUGGGGUAAUGGCUCACCUAGGCGACGAUCCCUAGCUGGUCUGAGAGGAUGACCAGCCACACUGGAACUGAGACACGGUCCAGACUCCUACGGGAGGCAGCAGUGGGGAAUAUUGCACAAUGGGCGCAAGCCUGAUGCAGCCAUGCCGCGUGUGUGAAGAAGGCCUUCGGGUUGUAAAGCACUUUCAGCGAGGAGGAAGGUGGUGAGCUUAAUACGCCUCAUCAAUUGACGUUACUCGCAGAAGAAGCACCGGCUAACUCCGUGCCAGCCGCCGCAGUAACACAAAA
Molecule: ribosomal RNA, 537 nt
Filed under: Serratia marcescens
Lineage: Bacteria; Pseudomonadati; Pseudomonadota; Gammaproteobacteria; Enterobacterales; Yersiniaceae
Description: bacterial SSU rRNA
Rfam family: Bacterial small subunit ribosomal RNA
Source: RNAcentral